Molecule: RNA transcript, 2124 nt
Organism: Bufo bufo (common toad)
Lineage: Eukaryota; Metazoa; Chordata; Amphibia; Anura; Bufonidae
Gene: SRSF6
Gene name: serine and arginine rich splicing factor 6
Exons: 7
Source: RefSeq, a predicted model, not a curated record
GAGCUGAGGCCGCCAUCUUCUGUAGCAGCGCCAUGCCGCGUGUGUACAUCGGGAGGCUGAGUUAUCACGUCCGGGAGAAGGACAUCCAGAGGUUUUUCGGAGGUUACGGAAAGCUACUGGAGGUGGAUCUGAAGAAUGGGUACGGUUUUGUGGAGUUUGAAGACUCGCGUGACGCUGACGAUGCUGUAUAUGAGCUGAAUGGCAAAGACCUUUGCGGAGAGCGUGUGAUCGUAGAGCAUGCCAGGGGACCACGCCGGGACAGAGAUGGAUUCAGCUUUGGAAGUCGCAGUGGCUACAGGAGCCAAAGAUCUGGCAGAGAUAAGUAUGGUCCGCCUGUACGUACAGAGUUCAGACUAAUUGUGGAAAACCUCUCUAGUCGCUGCAGCUGGCAGGACCUUAAGGAUUUCAUGAGGCAGGCAGGUGAGGUUACCUAUGCAGAUGCACACAAGGAGCAUACCAAUGAGGGUGUGAUUGAAUUUCGAUCCUAUUCUGAUAUGAAGAGAGCUGUUGACAAGCUAGAUGGCACAGAGAUAAAUGGCAGAAAAAUUCGCCUGGUUGAAAGCAAGACUCGCCACAGAAGGUCUUAUUCUGGAAGCAGGUCAAGGUCAAGAUCAAGGAGCAGGAGGAGAUCUCGCAGCAGGAGCAGACAUAGCAGCCACAGCAGAUCCAGAAGCAGGUCUCGCUCACCAGCAAAGAAGAGUCGUUCCCGUUCACCAGCCAAAAGAAGUCGCUCUCAUUCCCCUGCUAAGAAAAGUCUGUCUCGGUCUCCUGUUAAGGAAAGCCGCUCUCGGUCUCCAAUAAAACGCAGCCGUUCACAUUCACCUGCUAAGAGUCAAUCAAGGUCAAAAUCUCGGUCCAGAAGUAAGGAAACCUCUCGAUCACCAUCAAAGCAGAGAAAGUCCCGUUCAGUAAGCAAACCUAAAUCGGAUCAUGGCUCUCGAUCUCGCAGCCGGUCCAAGGGAAAACGCAAGAGAUCUCGUAGUCAUUCUAGAGGGAAACGAGAACGCUCUAGCAGCCGUCCCAAAUCAAAACGUGAGAGGUCUAGCAGCCGCUCCAAGUCAAAGCGCGAUCGAUCCAGCAGUCGUUCCAAGAGCAAACGUGAGCGUUCCCGAAGUCGCUCCAAAGGAAAACGAGAGUCUAUGGGUAAAAGAGAUCAAUCCAGAGAACGAUCACGUAGUCCAUCAAAUGGAAAGGAGAACAGAUCUCCUGAGCGAUCACGCAGCCAGUCUAGAGAGAGAUCAAGAGAGAGGUCUCCGGAAAGAUCUCGUAGUCUUUCAAAGGGAAAUAGAGAGGAUUCCAGAGAGAGAUCCAGAAGUCAGUCCAAGGGGGAACAUGACCGCUCUCGUAGUCGAUCAAGAAGCAAUAGGGAUCGUUCUAGGAGUCGAUCAAACACUAAACAGGAAAGAUCUUCCCAUAGUCGUUCCAGAUCCCCUUCCCCAAGAGAAAAUGGUAAAGGUGAUGCUAGAUCCCGGUCUAAAUCACCUGGCCCACCUUCUGCUGGUAAGGAAGGGUCAACUUCUCCACCUCCACGCCCUACCUCUGCCGCCAGCUCUAGGUCUCGUUCUAGCUCCCCAGAGUAGUGUUUGUUGUGAAGUAGAUUUAUAUGCAGAGUGUCAGGACUGGUCCCCACAAUUUGAUUCCCAUAAAUCACUUUGUUAAUUGUUUCAGUGCAGACGUGUCCAUGUUUUUCUGUCCUAUCCUGACAAGGGAAGGGUUUCAGCUAUGUAAAUAUUAAAAGGCAAUAAUUUUUUAUUUUUUUUUUGCAUGAAAAUUUCAAGAGCUGAAGUUAUGGCGCUGAAAGGUAUUUUUCCCUUUAGUUACUUAGUACGGUGGAUUACUAUAGUUGCUGAUCCCUGCUAUAGUAGAUGCACUCAAAUUACUAUGACUGGUUCCAUGUACACCCCUAAUGAAGUGCAUUGCAUUGUCUUUGAGCAAGAAAGUAUUUAAAACUUCAGUGGUUGAUGGGACUUUUAAUGGAGAUCCCAUUUCAGUUUAGCUGCUGACAUUGUAAAUAAAAGGUUUGUACUAUCUGUUGGGCGUUUUUUUAAUUUUUCAUUUUUUAGGAUGUUCUGUAAGUUCAUUUUUGCAAAGCAAAUAAAGUUUUUUUUCUGCUGUGCAACCUGG